Molecule: ribosomal RNA, 491 nt
Filed under: uncultured bacterium
Lineage: Bacteria
Description: partial 16S ribosomal RNA
Rfam family: Bacterial small subunit ribosomal RNA
Source: RNAcentral
AGUGAACGCUGGCGGUAGGCCUAACACAUGCAAGUCGAACGGCAGCACAGUAAGAGCUUGCUCUUACGGGUGGCGAGUGGCGGACGGGUGAGGAAUACAUCGGAAUCUACUUUUUCGUGGGGGAUAACGUAGGGAAACUUACGCUAAUACCGCAUACGACCUACGGGUGAAAGCAGGGGAUCUUCGGACCUUGCGCGAUUGAAUGAGCCGAUGUCGGAUUAGCUAGUUGGCGGGGUAAAGGCCCACCAAGGCGACGAUCCGUAGCUGGUCUGAGAGGAUGAUCAGCCACACUGGAACUGAGACACGGUCCAGACUCCUACGGGAGGCAGCAGUGGGGAAUAUUGGACAAUGGGCGCAAGCCUGAUCCAGCCAUACCGCGUGGGUGAAGAAGGCCUUCGGGUUGUAAAGCCCUUUUGUUGGGAAAGAAAAGCGGCAGGUUAAUACCCCGCUGUUCUGACGGUACCCAAAGAAUAAGCACCGGCUAACUUCGG